AUCCAGAUGACGAAUCCCAAAUAGGACGAAAUGUGCAUCCUGGAU
RNAcentral lists this non-coding RNA (45 nucleotides) under Trichobilharzia regenti. Lineage: Eukaryota; Metazoa; Platyhelminthes; Trematoda; Strigeidida; Schistosomatidae. The record is from RNAcentral.